UACAUUCUUGACCUUCCUUCUUUUGGUGUUACCUUUUCUGUCUAGCUCGUUCUCUUAGUCUAAAGCCAAAACUACUCCUUACUGGCCAACCAAAAGACAGGAUACGCGAAGGGGCCUAUUAGCCACCAAUAGUAGAGAGUGGGGGCGGUAGGCAUGCUAGCGUAGGCUUCACCCCCUGACUCUUUCUGCUCCCGGGCAGUAUCUUGCCAGUCGAUGGUUGUUUUCGGCGAUGUUAUGACUAUAGCUUCCGUCCUGUCUGGGUGGUGCCUUUUCUCAUGAAGAAAGGAGAAUGAAAUUUCCCCUCGAUCAGCUAAUAGGGGGCACGGAUCGUUAGCUCCUGCACACACACGUGGUACUGACUUGGCCUAGGCCUCACAUCGAUCGUCCUGUCCACUGAACUCAUCAAUCAACCUUGACUCUCACUACGUACUCCAUCUCUAUCUAUUAGAAGUUUCAGGCUGAGGUGAGCUACUCUAGUAUUAACUCUAAUUCACUGGCUUGAUUCCCUCACUUCCUUUAAGUCGGUCGGUAAUGGUUGACUUUCUCUUUGGGCUAUCGUAGAGGCAUGCCCACCCCACGGUCCGUCCAUUUGCUAUCCUCUAUCUAACUCGGGCUAAGUAGUGGUAGUGAAAGUCCAUCUCCUGACUAAAUAUAUACCUUCCCCGCUCAGGAAAGUCAGAAGGAAAGGCAUAAAGCAAGUACUGCGAACCCCUUUAAGCACGAAAUUAGACAGUUGGGAUUGCGCUUUCACCCAUGAUGGGAUUCUUUGGGCUAGGAUGCUAAAGAGAUGGCUAUGAGUUAGCCUGUAGUAGCUUGACAGUAGGAAGAGUCUAAAGGACUAACCGCAGCUAUUGAAUCAACUAUUCUUAUUCAAGCUUUCUUGACG
This 886-nucleotide long non-coding RNA is filed under the name Glycine max (soybean). RNAcentral describes it as "long non-coding RNA (GMAX_LNC002674)". Lineage: Eukaryota; Viridiplantae; Streptophyta; Magnoliopsida; Fabales; Fabaceae. The record is from RNAcentral.